RNAcentral lists this ribosomal RNA (497 nucleotides) under uncultured bacterium. Its description in RNAcentral is "partial 16S ribosomal RNA". It matches the Rfam family "Bacterial small subunit ribosomal RNA", at positions 28 to 507 of the family's 1533-position model. The record is from RNAcentral.
GAUGAACGCUGGCGGCGUGCCUAAUACGUGCAAGUCGAGCGAACGGACGAGAAGCUUGCUUCUCUGAUGUUAGCGGCGGACGGGUGAGUAACACGUGGAUAACCUACCUAUAAGACUGGGAUAACUUCGGGAAACCGUAGCUAAUACCGGAUAAUAUUUUUAACCGCAUGGUUCAAAAGUGAAAGACGGUCUUGCUGUCACUUAUAGAUGGAUCCGCGCUGCAUUAGCUAGUUGGUAAGGUAACGGCUUACCAAGGCAACGAUGCAUAGCCGACCUGAGAGGGUGAUCGGCCACACUGGAACUGAGACACGGUCCAGACUCCUACGGGAGGCAGCAGUAGGGAAUCUUCCGCAAUGGGCGAAAGCCUGACGGAGCAACGCCGCGUGAGUGAUGAAGGUCUUCGGAUCGUAAAACUCUGUUAUUAGGGAAGAACAUAUGUGUAAGUAACUGUGCACAUCUUGACGGUACCUAAUCAGAAAGCCACGGCUAACUACGUG